This 158-nucleotide ribosomal RNA is filed under the name Ogataea arabinofermentans. RNAcentral's name for it is "[Candida] arabinofermentans 5.8S ribosomal RNA". It matches the Rfam family "5.8S ribosomal RNA". Rfam says of the family: 5.8S ribosomal RNA (5.8S rRNA) is a component of the large subunit of the eukaryotic ribosome. It is transcribed by RNA polymerase I as part of the 45S precursor that also contains 18S and 28S rRNA. Functionally, it is thought that 5.8S rRNA may be involved in ribosome translocation. RNAcentral also lists the same sequence under 1 other name. The record is from RNAcentral. Lineage: Eukaryota; Fungi; Ascomycota; Pichiomycetes; Pichiales; Pichiaceae.
AAACUUUCAACAACGGAUCUCUUGGUUCUCGCAUCGAUGAAGAACGCAGCGAAAUGCGAUAAGUAAUGUGAAUUGCAGAUUUUCGUGAAUCAUUGAAUCUUUGAACGCACAUUGCGCCCUCUGGUAUUCCGGAGGGCAUGCUUGUUUGAGCGUCAUUU